UUGACCUCGGAUCAGGUAGGAAGACCCGCUGAACUUAAGCAUAUCAAUAAGCGGAGGAAAAGAAACCAACAGGGAUUGCCCCAGUAACGGCGAGUGAAGCGGCAACAGCUCAAAUUUGAAAUCUGGCCUCGGCCCGAGUUGUAAUUUGCAGAGGAAGCUUUAGGCGCGGCACCUUCUGAGUCCCCUGGAACGGGGCGCCAUAGAGGGUGAGAGCCCCGUAUAGUUGGAUGCCUAGCCUGUGUAAAGCUCCUUCGACGAGUCGAGUAGUUUGGGAAUGCUGCUCAAAAUGGGAGGUAAAUUUCUUCUAAAGCUAAAUACCGGCCAGAGACCGAUAGCGCACAAGUAGAGUGAUCGAAAGAUGAAAAGCACUUUGAAAAGAGGGUUAAAUAGCACGUGAAAUUGUUGAAAGGGAAGCGCUUGUGACCAGACUUGCGCCGGGCAGAUCAUCCGGUGUUCUCACCGGUGCACUCUGACCGGCUCAGGCCAGCAUCGGUUCUCGCGGGGGGAUAAAGGCCUCGGGAACGUAGCUCCUCCGGGAGUGUUAUAGCCCGGGGCGUAAUGCCCUCGCGGGGACCGAGGUUCGCGCAUCUGCAAGGAUGCUGGCGUAAUGGUCAUCAGCGAC
RNAcentral lists this ribosomal RNA (622 nucleotides) under Chaetomium elatum. Its description in RNAcentral is "eukaryotic LSU rRNA". It matches the Rfam family "Eukaryotic large subunit ribosomal RNA", at positions 1 to 648 of the family's 3401-position model. Lineage: Eukaryota; Fungi; Ascomycota; Sordariomycetes; Sordariales; Chaetomiaceae. The record is from RNAcentral.